AGUGAACUCCCACAGGUCUCCAUGGGUUGGGGAUUAAGCUUUGUGUGUGAAUAAUCACCUAAUUAAUCACCUCAGGCAGGGGAUUUAGAGACCUUGAGUCCUUGCUCUUGGAGCAGGUGCCAGGUGUGAACAGGAUAUGCCAAGGUUUCAUUAUAUAGCUCAGUGCUUUCCAGCCUCUCUCUUUUGGAGGCCAGCUCCAGGUGGGUGUGUUCAGAGUGUGUUUUGUUAGCACCAAGGAAUGCAAAACUGAUCACCCCAAGUGAGUGCUUUCUGUGUUCUUUGCGCCGCUGUCCUGUGCGGAAAGGGUGGUGGUGCUGGGAGGAAUAAAUCCUGGUUUCUUGUCACGUAUGACUCAUAGGUAUCAUCCUAUCUAAUGAAUUAGAAUAAAGCAACAACUCAGAAUCUGGUGAAAACUCCGAAAGUCCUUUGAAGUCUGCGCCCCAGAAAUGGACAUCCUGUACCUUUUUGUUGUGCUGGUCGGUGAAUGUCCAAAACUGCAGAUUCCCAUGCAGGCAGAGCUCCUUCUUACAUGUUUUGGAGAAAGGACUUGAGGCUCAGAAGUUUGUUCCUCCUCCCCUCAGCUGUCAGCUGAUCUACAUAAUGGAGUCUGAGUGUUCAGCCUUGCAUAGCAGGUAGUUUUGGAGGAGCCUGCCCUCAUCUCAGCGUAAUCAUUGCAUGGUCACAAUGCAAGUAACUUUGGGUGUUUUUGGAGGAAAGGUCACUGGCUCGGUAACAGUUUCCCCCUGGGAGCUCUGACACAUUUGUGUGCGAGUGCAUGAGGAAAAUGUGUUGUGCAUGUUCUUGUUUUGUGCGCUUAUUGCUUCUUUCAUGAAGGUAUAUGGGCACUUUCAAAAAUACACUUCCAUAGACCUUCUUUUCUUAAGAAAGGCUUAACACUCCAGAAUUGUGUUUGACAAAACAUCAUAGCAAAAUUUUGUUGCUGCAACAGGCUCAUGCUUCAGUUGCUCUCCUCUCCCUGGUUUAAGAGAGAUUUGCUGUUGCUCAUGCUCUUUUCAUGAAGGCCCUCAAAUAUGUGACUCAUGGGGAAAAAAUAUAGCUUAACCUAAACAAUAUUUUUUUCCUAAAUGAAACAAGGCUGUAUGGAAGCUUUGAAUCACCACUGAUAUUGCAAAUGAACCUUACAAUAAACAAAUAACCUGUUGAUGUUUCUGUGCCAAUGAAGGAAGUAUUCAGGAGGACGGUGUAAAGUAAGCACCGCCUGUGUUGUUCCUACAUUGGAGGAAUUACUUUAGAGUCCCAGUGUCCUGAAUUUCCUUCCUCAAAGUGUUUAUACAAAGGUAUCCUGCCCUCUUUGAGUCAGGUGGCGGUGCAUCUUCCCCCAUACCUUUCUGACAGGGGUAAGAGAAGCAUGUAAAUGCUGGGGAAAUUAAAACACAAUUUUCUUUGCCAGAUACCUGAACUAACUUUGCUUUCUGUGUUUGGUGGCUCUUGAUAAAUACAGCACAGAGUGGUUCCUUCUCUGCAUCUCAGAGGCAGACACACAAAACCUACAAUACACAUUCUCUGCAGUGUUUUUUCUCAAGAAGCUCUGGGUAGGAGGUAACGCUGCCUCAAAGAGACUGACCUUUCCAUGCACGAAUUUGUGUAAGUGGCUGCCUGGACCUGCUUCAUCUGGUACCUGCUAUUAUGUUAGAAAAGAUGGGAAACAAUUACUCACUGGUUGGCACAGAGGAGGUAGUCCUGAAAUUUCUGUAGAAAUGGUCUCUGAGUACGCACUCCCCACAGCCUGUGUAUUUUGGGGUUUCCAGUGCCAGAUGUGUUAAGCAAAAGGUCAGACUAAAUCUAGUCCCUAAGAAGUUAAUGGUUGUGU
Long non-coding RNA from Cygnus olor (mute swan), 1831 nucleotides. RefSeq lists it as uncharacterized. NCBI's taxonomy places the organism in Eukaryota, Metazoa, Chordata, Aves, Anseriformes, Anatidae. The transcript is spliced from 3 exons. The record is from RefSeq and is a predicted model, not a curated record.